Maniola jurtina (meadow brown) is the source of this 493-nucleotide long non-coding RNA. RefSeq lists it as uncharacterized. Lineage: Eukaryota; Metazoa; Arthropoda; Insecta; Lepidoptera; Nymphalidae. The transcript has 2 exons. The record is from RefSeq and is a predicted model, not a curated record.
UCAACCUCUUCAACGCCAAUAUAUUAAUGGAAUAAACAUGGAAUAAAUAAUUGGUUUGAUCCAUGGUUUUAUCCAGUGGUUUUAUCAAUGAUACGAGUACCUACCUAAAAUCAAGAAAAUGGCUUGGAUGUGGUUGUUUUCAUACAUUGUUAUUGUUGCCAUGAUACUAAAAUGGAACAACGCCCUCAAUAUGGCAACCUUUUCUAAUUUCGUGAAGAAUUUUAAGCAAAUGGUCGACGAGAUGUCACAGUACUUUGAGCCCUGCGGAUUCCCUAUCGAGGUGUUAGCAGGGUUCUGUAUGGAAAAGCUGCAGAAAUUUGAACGUUAUUCAGUGUUGCAGUGGCCGAAACUAUAAGUAGGUACUUCCCUAAAUCAAAAUUUGGUGUAGGUACUAUACAUAUAUGUAAUCUAAUUAAACCUAGGUUCGAAAUUAUUCCAAGAUUUGAAAAUGUAACAAUUGCAUAAAAUUAAAGUAAUUUUUUCUAUUUUUUUA